Drosophila suzukii is the source of this 509-nucleotide non-coding RNA. The record is from RefSeq and is a predicted model, not a curated record. Lineage: Eukaryota; Metazoa; Arthropoda; Insecta; Diptera; Drosophilidae.
UGUCUUUAAGGAAUAAGAAAUCCUUUUUUCGCGUUAUGCGUCGUUUGCGUUAAGCAAUUCGCCUGAAAAAACAGAAAUUUGGGCAACAACAGCUCUUGGUUUUUGCAUCAAGAUAAUGCACCGGCUCACAUUUCACUCGUUCUUCGUAACCAUUUCUCAAAAAAUUCGACGCAUGUUGUUCCGCAACCACCGAACCCGCUUGAUUUGGCUCCGUCUGACUUCUGGCUAUUCUCAAAACUCAAGACACCACUCCGGGGAACGCGUUUCGAGUAGGUUGAGGAGAUACAAACAAAGGCGCUGAUGGCUAUACCGGAACCGUAAGGAACUAUUUGGCACUUUUCGAGGAUUGGUAUUUAAUACGGAGUGCAUUACCUUGAAGUGUGACCGAAGUUUUCAAAGUUCACCCGCAAUGCAUGUAGCCGGGACUUACUGUCAAUCAGCUGGGUUUGUUGCCAAACGGAAAAGAAAUCAAUUGGAGAAAUUUUAAAAGGAGAAGUCUGCUGUUACAC